UCGACGGAUGCUGAGCGGAGGAGGCGCACGGGAGGGGCUGCUGUGUCUUAACAAAUUCUCGUAUUCCAACGAGCGCAAGGGGAUCAGGACGGAGCUAAACCAAAAAUAUUUCACUGGUAAAACCCCCUCAAGAACCCGUAAUGCCUCUCUUACAGUGGAUUUAUAUCCUGUCAUCUUUGACAGCAUCGUUUUAAAGGAAAAACAUUGCGAAUCGGACAUUUUGCGCUCCUCCGGCGAGGCUCACGAACGCGUUUAGUUCCACAAACUGAAUACAAAACAGCUUUGAGGAAAAGAAGAGAUUGGCGUAAGUCAAGGUAAGACGUUGGCAAACCAUCAUGGCAUGGCCCUGUAUCUCCAGAGCCUGCUGUAUGGCUCGGUUCUGGAACCAGCUGGACAAGGCCGACAUUGCGGUGCCGUUGGUUUUCACCAAGUACUCGGACGUGUCCGAAAUGCAGCAUCUUCACCUGCAGCAGCCCGCGCCGAAGGUCGCCAUAGAAACGCAGCCGCUUCAGAACGACCACGACGCGGUGACCAAAGCACCUCCAGCCCAGGAGGAGAACGUCUUAGGAUCUGUGAUGCGCCAGGACUUUAAACACUGGAAAGUUCGUCCGGAGCCCAGCUGCAAGCCCAAGAACGAGUACCAUGGCCCCGAGGUUCCUUUUAACAACGAGACCCAGUAUCAGAAGGACUUCAAACCCUGGCCAAUCCCAAAGAAGGGAGAUCAUCCUUGGAUCCCCAAACCCUCUCCAACCAUCUCAGCGGGCAGCGACCGCAUCCCUGACAGAUCCAAACACACUUUAGAGAUGAUGGACACUGGAGUGGAAAAGAGUGAGAUUGCUGACAAGGUGCAGGAGAAGGAGAUCCUGUCUAGUGAAAGGAAAAAGAGGCAAGCCAAGAAAGCCACCGUGGUUUCUGAAAACAAAGCUGGCGUGAAGGUGGACGGGCAGAGCGCAGGGGAUGCCACCACUACAGAGGGUAAAGGGAGGGCAGCUGUGGAUGCUCUCAACCGGCAGAUUAAACAAGAAGUCGGCUCUGGCAGCUCCUACAGGACGGAGUUCAAGGCCUACACAGACGUGAAACCUGUGAAGCUUAUCAGGGCCAAGUCUCAGUAUCAGCCUCCCGAUGAGAAGACUGAUCUGGAAACCAGCUAUAGCGCCACCUAUAGGGCCUACCAGGCUACUCAGAAGCCAGAUGGCAACAAGGCCUUGGAGAGGAGGAGGAUACGCUCACUGUACCAUGAACCUUACAGAGAGAGCAGUAAGGUGGAGAAAACCAGUCUUCCUCGCUCCAAACCCAAAAAGAGCACAUCCGCCACACCUGGCAAACCGCUGAAGAAGUCCAAGGAGAAGCAGGCGACGUCGGUGCGCGGUUCAAAGAAGAAGAGCUCCGAGAACCAGCCGGAGGGCAGAGCGGCGCAGGGCGACAAGGAGAAAAGUAAAGAGAUCAACAACAAACUGGCUGAGGCGAAAGAGGUUAUGCUAAAACAGUACCACUACAUUCAGCUCUGUCAGCCCAUCCGUGAUAUUGGUUGGGUGCAGACACUAAAGCAACACCUGUGGCGCUGUGCGAUGCCCGACCCAAGGUAAUUCUCGCCUGAGAUUAGCUAAACUUCUUCCGCCUUCAUCAGUACCUCAGCAGCACAAUUAUUACUCACUGACAGAAACUGUAGUGUUGCUAGUGCUUCGUACUCUAGUGUUCCCAUUGAGAAUUUAGUACACCAUAUCUGUUCAGUGUUUUUCAUCUUUUGAUUUGCUCCCAUGCGUAUUCUCUUCCAUAUGGAAAGUGUUGGACCAAAGGAGGUUGAAUAGGAGUUUGACUGCUCAUGGUGUUUCCUGUUGUUAAUGUUGUUUUCGGAGUACGUUGAGCAUUUAUUUGUUAGUCUUUCUUUUUUAAACAUGCAUGUUCUGUUUUAAUGUUGACUGCCAUCACAUACAGGCUUGUUGCUGUGUUCUUGUAAAAAAAAUAGGUCAAGGAAAAGAUUUUUUUCUUAAUGUAUUCAUCUAAGGCAUUGCUCCCUAUAGAAGAGUUUGAAGUGUCACAUCUUUUUUGUGGUACUUGUAAAUUAAUGUAGCAUCAAUCUCUCCUCUGUACUGCAGGAAUAAUCCAUUUACAGUGAACUUUAAAUGUUAGAUUAAUUUUUUUUUUCAUCUUUGUCAGGAGAUUAAUGAAAUUGAACUCGAUGAUAUUUAAAUCUUCUUUAGUUUUAGAACAGCACAUCGCAUUCUUGUUCAGUGGUGUCUGUCUUGUUGUUUUCAUGCUGGUUUUAUUUCUGGACUUUUCCUUUGAACAGCCUGAGAUCACUGUUAUAUUUCAUCCAAUUAUCUGGAGGAUAUUGGGGUCCAAAUGAGUUUACACAUUUAGUGUCACAUGUUUGCUUUUAAAACGUGCCUGAAAUACAGUAGUUAAAUACAAUAUUUAAAUAAAAAGGAAUAUUAUAAACCUAUACAAUGCUUAUUUAAUCAUAAAAACAUUUUGACACCAAAAGCGAAUUUAAUUAUUUGUGCAAGAUUACAUACAAAGCAAAUGCAAAGAAGCGAAUUUGCACCGUGUAAUACGAAUGACGCAAAUCGGGCGACGCAUUUGCAUCGAGCGCGCGAUAUACACCUCGAUCGCAUCUUACGCGCAAGUCCAAAAAUUUCAACUCAAGCGGAAAAUUUGCAUGAUGUGUUGUCGCACAAGCCAAUCACUAAAGAGCGUACUGACACAUCCAGUUUGGCAAAUACAUUACAUACGUUUUUAUGAACGAGUGCUGCAAAAACAUCCCUCAAGUAAAUUAUAGCGAGUAAUGUGUUGAGAAUAUUCGCUUUGCGUUUGGUGUGCACACAGCAUAAUGGUGUGUUCACACCAAAAAUGUAUUUAACUAUUCGUGUGAGAUUACAUACCAAGUAAAUGCAAAGAAGUGAAUUUGCGCAGUACGAUACGAAUGACGCUAAUUGGGCGACGCAAUUGCCAUGAACGCACGAUAUACACCUCAAUCGCAUCUUAGGUGUGAGUUUAAAAAUUCGACUUGAGCGGAAAAUUCGCAUGAUGUGUUGUCGCACAAGCCAAUCGCUAAAGAGCUUACUGACACAUCCAGUUUGGCGAAUAGAUUACAUACAUGUUUUUAUGUUUUUAUUAACGGGUGUUGCAAAAAACAUCCCUUAGGUAAAUUAUAGUAAAUUAAGUAAGUGCAAAGACACAAAUUUGCACCGGGCGAUGCAAAUGAUGCAAAAUGGGUGACAUAAUUUGCCGCAGACGCGUGAUAUAUGCGUUAAUUAUUCAUGUGAGAAGAUUACAUACAAAGUCAAAGCAAAGACAUGACUAGAUGUGAAUUUGUGCCAUGCGAUACGAAUGGUACAAAUUGGGCACCGCGAUUGGUGCAAAUGCACAAUAUACACCUCAGUUGCGUUUUCCACACAAAAUUUCAACUCGAGCAGAAAAUUCACAUGAUGUGUUGUCGCGCAAGCCAAUCAACAAAGAACUUACUGACACGUCAGGUUGUAUCAGAAAAUGUUUUUUUUUUUUAUUGUUUUUAUGUUUAUAUUCACGUGAGUGAUGCAAAAACAUCCCUUGAGUAAACUAGAGUGAGUAAUGCAAUAAGAAUAUUUGCUUCACAUUUGGUGUGCACACACAUAAAGGUGUGUUCGCACCAAAAACUAAUUUAUGCUGCACAAUGCAAAUAACACAAAUUGGGCAACGCGGUUUCUGAGAAUGGUGCGGUUUCUGAGCAUGCCUCAAUUGCGUCCUUUGCGCAGGUUAAAAAAUGUCAACUCGAGCUGAAAAUUUGCUUGACACGUUGUUGCAACCCAAUCAGCGAAGAGCUUAUUUAUACAUCCGGUUGUAUCAGAAAAUGGAGGAGAACAUUACGCUUGCGAGUAAUCAAAUUACUGAACUGUGUGUACGGAACAGGAUUAAGCACUAAAAGAGAAUCUGAGUCUGGCCUCGGACGAGUCAGCGAUUAUUAUUCCGCGGGUACCUCUGGAAGAGAACCACUGGUGGGACGACCAGAACCACGUCGGGGAGUAGUCCGGUUCGCUC
RNA transcript from Labeo rohita (rohu), 4017 nucleotides. It is a transcript of the gene named microtubule-associated protein 6a, with no coding region annotated. NCBI's taxonomy places the organism in Eukaryota, Metazoa, Chordata, Actinopteri, Cypriniformes, Cyprinidae. The record is from RefSeq and is a predicted model, not a curated record. The transcript is spliced from 5 exons.